Tachyglossus aculeatus (Australian echidna) is the source of this 138-nucleotide small nucleolar RNA. The record is from RefSeq and is a predicted model, not a curated record. Lineage: Eukaryota; Metazoa; Chordata; Mammalia; Monotremata; Tachyglossidae.
CCCCUCUCAGGAUCGCAUCUGAAGAGUUUCCAGUACUCUGCCAGUUGUAGCUAUGGGAGAGACAGUCAAGCAGAGGGAUACCCAUUCCAUUCUUAGCUUGGGCAGUGGUUAGCGAGUGGAAGACAAUCUGCUAUAAGU